CCUACGGGGUGCUGCAGUGAGGAAUAUUGGUCAAUGGGCGGGAGCCUGAACCAGCCAAGCCGCGUGAGGGAAGAAGGUACAGCGUAUCGUAAACCUCUUUUGUCAGGGAACAAAGGCGGGGACUAGUCCCCGGAUGAGGGUACCUGAAGAAAAAGCAUCGGCUAACUCCGUGCCAGCAGCCGCGGUAAUACGGAGGAUGCGAGCGUUAUCCGGAUUUAUUGGGUUUAAAGGGUGCGCAGGCGGCCUGUUAAGUCAGCGGUAAAAGCCCGGGGCUCAACCCCGGCGAGCCGUUGAAACUGGGGAUCUAGAGUGUGCGAGAGGUAUGCGGAAUGCGUGGUGUAGCGGUGAAAUGCAUAGAUAUCACGCAGAACCCCGAUUGCGAAGGCAGCAUACCGGUGCACAACUGACGCUCAGGCACGAAAGCGUGGGUAUCGAACAGGAUUAGAUACCCUGGUAGUC
Molecule: ribosomal RNA, 459 nt
Filed under: uncultured bacterium
Lineage: Bacteria
Description: partial 16S ribosomal RNA
Rfam family: Bacterial small subunit ribosomal RNA
Source: RNAcentral